AGGCGCAGCGAAGCGAGUCUUAAAAGGCGCAUGAGUUCGUUGGAUCAGACCGAACCAGGUGAUCUAGCCAUGAGCAGGAUGAAGGUUGGGUAACACCAACUGGAGGUCCGAACCAACACCCGUUGAAAAGGGUCUGGAUGACUUGUGGCUAAGGGGGUGAAAGGCUAAUCAAACCUGGAGAUAGCUGGUUCUCCGCGAAAGCUAUUUAGGUAGCGCCUCGGACGAAUACCAUCGGGGGUAGAGCACUGCAUGGGGUAAUGGGGUCCCACAGACUUACUGAGCCUAAGCAAACUCCGAAUACCGAUGAGUACUAUCCGGGAGACACACAUCGGGUGCUAACGUCCGGUGUGAAGAGGGGAAACAACCCUGACCUGCAGCUAAGGCCCCUAAUUCAUGGCUAAGUGGGAAAGCAUGUGGGACGGCCAAAACAACCAGGAGGUUGGCUUAGAAGCAGCCAUCCUUUAAAGAUAGCGUAACAGCUCACUGGUCUAGAUAAGCUGUCCUCGCGGCGAAGAUGUAUCGGGG
RNAcentral lists this ribosomal RNA (525 nucleotides) under uncultured bacterium. RNAcentral's name for it is "bacterial LSU rRNA". It matches the Rfam family "Bacterial large subunit ribosomal RNA", at positions 664 to 1180 of the family's 2925-position model. The record is from RNAcentral.